GAAUACACAUACCAAGUGUUCAACAUGCAACUGCUUACAUAGACUGAGAAUACACAUAUACUGCAUACCACACAACCACAACCAUGCAUGAGUGUUGUCAACACCCGGAUCAGUAGCAACCGUCACCAGUCCUCAUUGGCCAUAAAUAAAAUAUAGAAAAAAUUCUGCAUAGUCCACCCAUUGUUGCAUGCACACUUGUCAUUUUUUUUUGCUAAACCAACCCACCAAUUAAUGAUGAGAAUCCUCAUACAGAUGCAUCCCUACAAAUACUAAAUCAAACUUAAACGAAAGGAAGUCACUAACACCAAUUGUCAUGCAACCAGCCAAUAUGAGAAAACAAACACAGGUCAAGAAACCAUUAGUCAGUGGGAAUCAAAUCAAAGCAUAUGCAGUCAUUAAUUGACUCUCAAGAGGACUCGCAUGCAGAUGAAUGAGGCGAGACAAAUAGUAGGUCCUAAGUUAAAAACGUGCAAGAUUAUGAAGUUGUCCUGUCAGUUCAUGUUUACAUAUCCGCAAGAAGUUUUGUGCGUAAGAAAGUUUUCAGUAAGUAGUUUUCAGUAACCUGAAGAGAGUCUUGUGCUUUGAGAGCUUAUCUUCUGAAGGCGAGAAACAAUCACCGAACGCCGUCGCUGCACCAGAGACGGAAGUAAUCCCGCCGUCGAGAGGACAACGAAAGGGGGGCGUCGCCAAACCUGUGCUGAUUGGGAGAACUUGUGCUGGAGAAAUAACGUAUGUAACACAUCGCUGACCAAGACGCUUGAUCUGUAGCCGGCGAGGAAAAAAUAGCAGCUUCACACUGCUUCUAUUUGUGCUUCCACCUUCCCACGUUGGCAUUCUGUAUGGCGAUCGGUGACUUUGCUAGCUCUUGCACUAUUCAUGCUUCCGUAUCAAGCACCGGUUGCAGGUCUGUUCAUUCAGAUCAAGGGCCAGCUAGCAUUUGACUCCCGUAGUCCGCAGGAAAAGGGCGUGGUGGAGAGGGUGACUUGCUGCUGGGAGGAUCUAGCGAGAGCACGAAAGAAGAGGCGCCCGCUCCUGAUGCGUACAUGCUGCCGCUACCUGCGGUGACUGCAAGGAUAGAGAAAAAUUGAAAGAUGAGUAGGAAAGAAGCAGUGCGGGGAAGGGAGCCAUCGACCUUAUUAGCGAGGGAACGCACCAGCGACCGAAGGCGGCGCCGGUUCGUCUUGAUGGCGGCGGCACGCCCGCGCUGGAGGAUCACGACGCUGCGGAGUCGCGCGGGCCCAUGACCUGCGAGCGGCCUAUGAUAGAACCCUAGGCACUCCACGGUGCCGUCGGCGGCGCUUCAUCAGACACCAACAGGGCAGAGCUCACAUUGUGUUCGACGGAAGGGGUGUCAGGAGUGAAGGAGCAGGGAUGAUGGCGCAUCCGAGAUGGAAGACGCACACGGAGUGACGCAUUUUUAUAGGGCCAAACAACGACCAAGCAGUGGAACUGGAUUUCACGGGAUCCUUCCAGAGAGACCAGGCGAAAUAUCUAGCCGGUCUAGAAAAAAACACAACAUAUGUCCAAACUGCUUACCCCAUAAUCUCAUUGACCUAUACGUGUCCAUCAUGGAAAUAAGCAGUCAAUGACCCAUGGACAGACGUGGCCACAUGCAUGGAUCAAGCAGUGGCACGUGGAACAAGAGCAAUCCACACACCUCUAGACUGGACACGUGAAAUCAAAAGUGCAAACCGCACAGUAAAUCAAAGUUUUUUAAAGAAUGGAAGAACCUUCCCGAAGAGUGCAGCACACACCCGUCGAUAAACAAGAGCUCAUAACGUGGCAACGGCAACACCAAACCAAACAUGCCCCACGACCUGACCAAGCAAAAAAUGAGAUCCAUCAAACUCUAGGAAGCCAUCCUGCACACGCGUCACUCAAUCAAUAAUGGUAAAAAAAAUUCCAAAAAAAACAGGUAAAAGGAACCCUUACAGGCCCAGUAUUCUUAGUAUUCCAGAAACUAAGCUAAGAGAACUCUCUCUUGUUACAGCAAGAGGACACAAAGAAAAUCCAAAAUAAAAACCAACUGGGUUGCCUCCCGUAAAGCGCUUUCUUUAUAGCCAUAUAGCUAGGCUUACUUGUUGUUUACCGAGGAUGAAGCUCAUGAGGGAGCUUGAAAGUUGUGCCCUUCAUCCUUGGGAAGUGUUCCAUGCAUUUCGUAUGUGAAAACUGAAACUUCAUAUUCCCUUCCUUUGAAUCAAUAAUAGCUCCUGUCGUACGAAGAAAAGGUCUUCCAAGAAUAAUAGGACUAGAGGUUUUAUUCCCCAUAUCCAUGAUUAGAAAAUCCACAGGCACAAAAGUCAUAUGUAACUCUACCAUAACAUCACUUACUUUUCCUAAAGCAUGUGUAAUGGUACUUAGUCUGGUACAUUUAUUUCAGUCUUUACGUAUUUCUAAGUUUCAAAAAAUUAUGAAACAAAAUCCGGAGGUAGCCAAUGGUAUACCAUACAAACGUGAAAAGGUAAUUUCAAAUAAUUUGUAUUCCGAACUGCACCAAAAUGACAAAAGUGUGGAUCUUGUAUGUAUAUUUUUAAAUCUCUAAAUUUUAAUAGGUUUUAUCAUUUUUGCAUAAAAAAUACAAAGUAUUUGAAAAUGAUAUUUUUCACGUUUGUGGAAUACAUCAACGGCUACAUCCUGGAUUUUUUUUCAGAAUUUUUUGAAACUCGGAAAUACGAUUUUCAAAAAAAUUUAGUGGCAGGAGCACUAGUGCUCAGGAGUCGAAGACACUUUCCGCUCCGUUCGUUCCUAUAUGAUACUAUUUUAAUUGCUUCAUAGGUUGUCUAUAUACAUAUUAAAAUGAGUGAAUAUUUACACCAAAACGUGUUUAGAUAAAUUUGUACCAACAUGCUAAUAUGGAUAAAUGCUAAAAAUAUAUAUAUAUAUAGAGACAGAGUGAGUACUUGUUUGCAAUGCCCAACUUCAUGUGGUCCAAGAUAGGCUGGACAUGAGUGCGUCGAAGAUGAUCUUAUUGUGUUAUUGGCUGACACUCAAAGUGAUGACGCCAACUCAUGUGCUAUUCGUCUUCAUUGCCAUAUAACAUCAUCUGAAGUGUUAUUCUUGCUUGACUCUUGCAGCUCCCAAUUUUAGAGUUAUCCAAUACCAGUUGUGAACCAAAUAAUGCUGAAUGUGUACAUACUUUUCUUCCAUGAAUCCUAUUGAAGUGUUUGGAUCCUCACCUCAACUUAAUGACAAUGCCGGGUGGAGUCCCCAUCCGAUCUUGUUAUUUCUUAAGAUAACCAGUGGAAUUUACUUGAUUUUUAAAGAGGGUCACUAUAUCGAUGGCACCAAGUUUGCCCAACUACCCUAUGCAAAUACACCAUAGGGGUCUUUAUCAGCGGAUUGUACGAAGUUUGGUCGACGAAAAGUUGUGAUGGGAUCCUGACAUCUGGCCACUUGUCGGAUUCUAUGAGCUUUUCAGACAAGCUGCAGCUCAAGGAGGAUCAUGGCUGAAGGUCUGUCCUACUGUUACCACAAUCACAUUGCCACCUUCCUCGACGACGGUCUCUUUAGCUAUGACUACUACAUCAACUACGUGCAAGUCCACCUCGACCACAUCUACGACAUGAGCCAGAUCCCGGUAAAAACAAUCUCAUGUACCAUGGGAUCCCGAUGGCAUCGGCUUGGGCAAGCCAAAUAUUAUGAGGUGAAAGUGUUAGUGAACCCUUCUAUACUAAGCAUGGGCUGGCGGUGGGCCGCCAUAUGAUGGUCUUGGGCCUGCUCAGCAGCCAUGGAGUGAAGGCCACUACAAUUACAAAGAGAUGGAUGACUUGGUUUGAAACAGACUUUUGACAUGGAUAGACGAGGACACCGGCAUUUUUUCUUCCUAUAGCCUUCUCAAUCCUUCAUGGACAAGUUUGCAAUCUCUUUCGUGUUGUAAUCUAAAUCUUGCUCCAACUAAGUGAACUAGUAGGGGUUGCUUACAUACUUCCUCCGUUCCUGAAUAACUGUAUUUUCAAAUUUGUCCUAAGUAAAAAAAUUAUUAGUCCGACCAAUUUCAAAGAAAAUAUAGCAUUAUAAUAACAAAUUAAUAUCACUAGCUAGAUGCAUCUUAGAUUGUAGUUUCAUAAUAUACCAAUUUAGUGCUAGAAUACUGCUAUAUUUUUAAUAACGUUUAUCAAACUAAUUUUUUUACUUAGGACAAAAUUACAAAUAGAUGGGAACAUAGGGAGAAAAGAAUUUGCAAGUUCUGCACAUUUGUUUAUAGAGGAGAUACAUAACGGAUGGAGGCUAUCAAAUAGACGGGAUACAUAACAGAUCUGGUGGGCUCCGGGCAUUUGCAUGGAGGCGAUGACAGUGGAACGGAGGGGCAGCACGAAAUACCGGUUCGAUUCUUCCCGGAGAAGUUCGGGAAACUGCUCCAGACCAGUUUCUCGAAAAUGCACUGCGCGUUGCUUCUGGUGGGCUUCUCGGUGGAAAGAAACUGGACACUUCUUUUAGGCUUAUGUUGUUUGGUAGCUAGAAGCCAUCUCAUAAACCCAAAAGAAGUCACCCGUAGUUCGCUCUGAUCAGCUCAUUCCCUAUCAACUGAUGAUUCGAUAAUUUAUUCCACCUCGAAACCAUUUCUCAAUCCCAGUGUUUCAUUUUUUUUAAAGAUUACUAUGAUCCCAGUGUUUCAUUACGAAUCUCGUCAAAUUCCACUACUAUAGUCUAGUCUUGGAGUUUAUAGCACCUUCCGUGAAACUUCGUCUGUGUGCAUCAUAUCAGUUUAUCGUCUUUGGCACCAGUAGUAUCGGCAGAUUACAAGUGGCUGCUGCACUAUCUUAUAGUACUAUUUUGAGUUGCAAAAACCGACCAUAUUUCUCGCAGUCCGAUGUCAGCUAUGACCUAUGGAACACGAUAACGUUGUCCAACAAACAGAGAUGAUAUUUGUAAGCAUGCAUGAACCAAACUAAGCACAUGCUGACUGCUACGCAACGUACUAGGAUAUUCGUUUGUGUAGGUUUGGACGUUGUUGGUUGACGUCUUGGUCGAUCUUUCCCACCAACUUUAUUAUCGUGGGAAAUGGACUCCCAACUAGUACAAUUGUGAGUUUGAUGAUAGCACUAUGAGGACGUCUCCUACGGGCUGCUUAAACGGACCCGAAUUUAUCUUCGAUUCAGUCCGGGCAGGUGUCCGGCUGUUUUUCUGGUAGUGCACUAGGGAUGUGAAAACGGGAUCCAUUUGUCUCAUUUAUUCUCUAUUAUUUUAUACAUGUCGACAUGUACAAAAUGGAGAAUAAAUGGGACAAAUGUAUCCGGUAUUCGCAUCCUUACAGUGCAUCCUACGGGGCUGCUUAUUUGACCUGCCAUUUCAUUUUUUUUCCCGGAUCUGGGUAUUUCUCUCAAAACAACGGAACAAACUUAAAUAAAUGGUAAGAAUAGUAAAAAUAUCUGAAAAUUGAAACACAUACGAGAAUAAAUUCAUAGUUUUAAAAUUGAAUAAUUUAAAAUCUUAUAGAUUUAUUACAACCAAAUAAAAGUCCUACUGGUUCCCUACGAAAGUCCACAUAUGCUCAACCAAAAUAUCUUGAAGUCGAGUGUGAGUGUCGCGAUCACGCAACUCAUGCUGAAACUAGAGGAACUCCUAAAAUGUUGCCAGUCCUGGUUGGGGCUCAACAUUCUGACCCUGGAACUCCCAAUGAUCAUCAUGCAUCCUUUAUGAUCAUGUUGUGCAUGAUCACAGAAGCUAUCAUCACAUCACAUAAUCUCCAGGCUCCAUGUCUUAGCAGGGUGUGAACAAUAGCCCAUCGAGAUUGGAGAGCACUGAAAGCACGCUCCACAUCCUUCCUAUCACUCUCAUGUUUUUUGGCCAACCAAACCCUCUUCUCUCCAUGAGGAUUGGAGAUGGUCUUCACAAAUGUAGACCACUGGGGAUAGAUACCAUCAGCUACGUAGUAUGCCUUGGUGUAUUCGUGGCCAUUGAUAUGAUCGCUCACCUCCGGGGAGUUGCCUGCCGCGAGUCUGCCGAACACCGGAGAGUGUUGAACCACGUUGAUAUCAUUGUGAGAGCCUGCCAUGCCAAAAAAAGAGUGCCAACUCCAGAGAUCAUGUGAUGACACUGCUUCAAGAAUGACCAUGCAUUUUCCAACAUGCCCCUUGUACUGCCUCUGCCAAGCAAAUGGGCAGUUCUUCCACUCUCAUUGCAUACAAUCUAUGCUUCCAAGCAUCCUAGGAAAACCUCUGCCCUCGUUGAUCGACAACAUCCGCUGAGUGUUGGGAACAGUUGGUUCUCUCAAGUACUCCGGGCCAAAAAUUUGAACCACAGCUUCAUAAAACUUAUACAUUGAAUCCAGGCAUACAGAUUCACGCAUGCAUAUGUAUUCAUCUACCAGAUCACCGGCUACUCCACAUGCAAUCAUCUGAAUUGCUGCGGUGUAUUUUUUAUAAGAGGAGAAGCCAAACUUACCACAUGCAUCUGGUUUGCACUUAAAAAAAAUCAUCGUACUCCAUCACUCUAACUCGAAUGCGGUUGAAUAGAUCUCUCUCAUCCGGAAACGGCGCCGGAAUAGCUUGGCACUGUACACUAGAUUGGUGAGAUCGAAGUAGUCCUUGUAAAGCUAGGCAUAGCCACCUUCUCUGUCCUGAUCCAGGGCGGGAUGAUGGCCCGGCAUGGACCCUCUGAAAACUACCCCGUCGCCGCUCGCUUCGUCACGGACAAGUUUUUUUUCGCGAAAACGCAAAAGUUUUGCGUUUCGAUGCAUUGAUAGAAAAGAAAAGAUUUACAAGCUCAAGAAAGAGCUGAUACCACUCAAACAACACAACAUGGUAGAGUAUAACGUCUACAACUCGCUAACACAAGCGAAGAAUGCACUCCACAUCCGGCUAGUCCGAAGACAGACACUACUGAAAUCUGAACUACAAAGCAAAAGAGAGCCUGUCCUAACCCGAGUAUCAUCGCCGCGUCUCAACCGCCGCCUAUCACGUCCAAAGGCCGACAGCUUUGCCUGAAUUUCCCUUGUCGACGCACCAUCCACCCUUGAUGCCUAAGGAUGGCAGGUAGAUGGCGGGACUUGGUCGAUCCCGAUAAAAUACAUCUCCUUGUACUCACCGGUGACAGCGUCCAUAGCGCCUCUGAGCAUCAGCCUAGGAAAACGUCGUGCGCCGGAGAAGAAAACAAGAGCCCCGUGUCUCCAAGCGCGAUGCUCCCAACAGAGGGACGACGUCAAGGACGCCGCCAUCACGCCGAUCCAACUGAAUUUUGGCUUUCACCCGGAGACAUCCACCAGUCCGAGAGAGGUAGGGAGAUGUUGACAUGCUUCAACAACACCUCCAAGGAGGAGAACGACGCCCACGGGCGCCAUCGUCGCCGGCACCGAUCAAAGAUGGGCAAGACUUCCAUCCGCUAUGUCGCCCACCUCCCACCAUACUCGCCAGAUUGAAGAAGGCGGCAUUGUCCUUCGCACUGCCCCCUCCGCAGCCCCUCGCCAACGUAGCCAGCUCUCGUGGUCCAACCAACCAGCGUCCACAGCCUGUCAGACGCCGGACACCCACGCGCGGUCGGCCAAACCGUCCGCAGCGCUCCAAGCACGCUCCCAGGACCAACCAUCCUCACCAGCCUCGCUGUUCACCGAGAGUCUCGACGCCUCCAGUGAAGCCCACUCCAGCACAUCCACUCCGGCCAAACACGAUCAAAAGGCGCAAAUUUUUCCAUGGUGUGGCCACACCACCGCUGCCAAGAGGAGCAGCGCGCAAGCCUGCCCGUGGUCUGCGCGCAGCCAUUGCUCAGAGGAGCAGUGCGAGCAUGAUUGCCGGCGAGGGGCCGGAUGCCGCCAUGAGGCGCAGCCCGAACCCCGCCAUGCCCUCACCGCUGUGGCAACUGGCCGCCGCCGCUGCUCAGGCGCAGCGCAAGCACGAGCCCAGGCCAGAGGCCGGCGGCCGCCGCUCAGGGCGCAGCGCGAGCCCCGCCGUGGCCUCACCGUCGUGGCCACCAGGUCGCCUCCGCUAAUGAGGGCGGGGAAGUCAGGAGGGGAGGAGGGUGGAGGAGGGGACCUGUUUGGACACCCACCGGGCCGCGCCGCUGACACCCGCACGAACGCUCGCCGGGGAGAAGGGUCGCCACCGCCAUGGCCGACCUCGUGCCGGAAGGGCAUCUGGCUGCCAGCUCACAGCCGCGAGGGAGAAACACCACCACCCACGAGCAGCAGCCGCGUCCUUGCCCAAGCACCGUAGCAACCUCACCCAGGCGCCGCCGCAGCAGCAGCCGAGCACCACGGCGAACCCCAAGGGCCGCCGCCCAACAGAUCCAGAGAAGCCGUGCGAGAGAACCCCGCCACCGCUGUCGGCCACGCGGGCUUUUUUCGCCCGGUGACGUCCUCCGGCAGCGGCGCGGUGGGAGGAAGGAGGACGAGCGGCAGCGGACGCUAGGGUUUCGGGUCACCCCGGAGUCGCCCUUGGGCGUGGGCAACGCGAGGGAGAGGGGUCUCGUGGCCGUUCAGACAAUACCCCUUCAAGGUUUAAUUCAUGAUGAUCAUAAGCAGUAGAAAGUUUCUCGUGCAAGGUUUAAUCCCACAGUAAACGAACUACAGGCGAAAAGGUCAUUUAGGGGAAAGCUUGAUCUGAAUAAUUUUUGCAGCCGACCAAGGUGUCUGCCUCCUAGUACCAGUCCAGUAACAAUAGUCGUCAGACAUGGUCACAACAUUGCAGGACAGAACCAAAAAAAGACCGCAACAUUACAAACCAUAGGAAACAAGUAAGUUGUGUGUUCAUCAUUCCACAUUCUUACAAAACAAACAUAACGCCGAAAUUAUUCAUGACUCCACUACAUUACAGAUCAUAGGAACAACUACAUUAUUUAGUGAUGAUGAGUUGCAGGCAUGACAUUAUGCAUCCUCUGUAAAGCGGAUGCAAGGGUAAGUAGAGCACCUUUUUCACUCGCAAACCUGGCGAUGAAGAGUCAUUUCUUCACCUCUCGCCCUCGAGUCCUCAGGAGCCUGUUUUUUUUCAAGGUUAUCAAAUGGUUGAAGCAGUAAGCAGCAAAUGUAUGUUUUAGAUGCCAGCAAAUGUAUGUACUGGCUCUUAAAUUUCAGAUCCUUACUUGGUACCAUUUUCCAAACAGAAAAUAGAGAAAAAGUAGAGUUGUAGUAGUACCUUUAUGUCAUCGCCAGAUGUUAACAUAUAUUUUUUUAGGAAUAUAUGCUCAAUCUUUUGCCAGUUUGGAUGUCCGAUAAUCCGAAAAGACUUUGUGAAGGCUGCAUUGCAGUUGCAAGACACCACGUUAAGCUCCUCAAUGGACCUGGAUAUUCAAGCAUGAAAUGAUGAUCAGUUUCUUGAGCGACGUGUGGUAUUCCAUGUUAUCAGGCAGGGCGUCCCAGCUGCAGUCACUGAACCAGAGCACUUGAAGACGCAGGAAAUUCUCAAGUUUAGGAGCAGGUCCAAGUUAAGUACAGCCCCAGAAGAAGAUCCUUUCCAGCCCCUUCGGGCCGCCGUUCUGUGUGCCCUGCCCACCAUCCAGCUUGGAUACCUCGAACCAUGGUAGCCCCAGAUUUCAAGAGAUUGAAGCUGCGCCGGAGGACAGAGGCCCUCCAUUACCUGCGCCUCUGCUUUGACGUUUGGUCUGCGGCUCUCACGCUCCCAGCAUAGUUCCAGGUCUGCCAGCCGUUCCUUGGCAUCUAGAUUGGCUUCCAGAGCUUCCUCCUUGCUUUCAACAUUGUGGAGACCGAAGAUAUAGAGCCUGCCGCGGAGGUCAUUUCGGUCCCUCAGCUGCUUGGUCCGGUAUUCUUCUUCCUUGGUCACUGUGAACUCUAGUCUGUCGUCUGAAUCCCCCAUUAGGUGCAGCAAGUCGCCGGCUGCUCUUGCCAACAUGAAAGUAGAAGGAAAAUGCAUCACUGAUUAUGCACAUGGUAAUCCCAGAAGCAAAAAUCAUACAUAGGAUGUUGGGGUAUAUUAUUAUUACCUAGGCCGGCGGGUGCGGGAGGUGGCGGAAUCCGGCCGGCGAUUGGAGCAGGUCGUGGCCGCCGGCUGGCUGAAGACGUGGGAAUCGAUUCCGCGGCCGGGGACUCAGGAUGUGUUCAGCGGAUUGAGGCCGAACCCCCAGCUGAGCUUCUGCAGGUAUCUAUGGUAUGGUGGCCACCGUAAACGAGAAAUUGAGCUAAUCGAUGCUUGCUGAUCCACACGACACGAGUAGAACCACCGUCCACACUGCUAGCUGACAACAAGAGAGUCACGAUCGUUGGAGAGAGAGGGCGGUUCUGUCGACACCAACCGAAAAUUUAAUAGUGCAGUGGCCAGAGCGAACCAACCUGUGGUUGGAUGGUUAGAGGGACUGUGGUAUCCUCAGCCCACCAGGGUUCAAAUCCUGGUGCUCGCAUUUAUUUCUGGAUUUACUUCAGGAUUUCCGGCGAUGCGCAUUCAGUGGGAGGAGACGUUCCUGUCGAUGACGAGGUGCCUACGGCGACUUCGUAAAUCUCAAGAUGACAUGCCGGCUUAGUCUUUCAGAGGUGCUCAUAGGGGUAGGUUAUGCGUGUGUGCGUUCAUAGGGGUGAGUAUAUGCACGUGUAUAUGAGCGUUUGUGUCUGUACUGAUGUUCAAAAAAAAGAAUUGCUUUAGAAAAUAUUAUAAAAAUAAAAAUGCAGGGAAAAAGAGGACACGGGUGUUUGAACUUGUAUGGCGUCGUUAAUUGUGCGAAAAUCUGGUUGUUCCAAUUUAAAUUUGGUUAUUCAGAUAUCUACGUAAUUAUUUUCACCGGAACAUUAACAGUGUCUGAAGCCUACUGGCCAGCAAAGUAUGUUAUCUUCCUCAACGCGUAGGCGUAGCUGAUCCAAAUGAUGAAAACCAACAUGGAUAUACUAUUUUCUCCGUCCCACAAUCCAUCAACAAAUAGCCGAGCAAUCAUCCAACGAAGCCACUCCAUAUACAUGAAAUGGCGGGAAUAUCGAUAUAAGUUCUCAAUGUUAGUUUCAAAUUUUUUUUUAACAAAGACGCAAACAACGGAUUAAGUGUGGUGGCUGACAAGGUAGUACGAGCUACUUAGAAUUUUUUUUUUGAGGGAACGAGCUACUUAGAUGGUUUCCGGUUAAUGCUGAAACAUCCUAAAUAGGGUCAUAAUUUUAUAUGGAGAAAAAUGCCAAUGGCCUCCUAAAUUGGGCCUAGGGCUUCACCCAAUGACCACUUUACAGUUUUCUUUUUUUGCAAAAACCUUCCGGUAUUCAGUAAUUGAGCAUCAGUUUUGCAUGUGGUUGUAUUAUAUCUUGAACUUUGCACUUGGCUAUGUAAUUUUUUUUCGUUUUGUUUUUUUGCAGAACUAAGUAAAACAAAUAUGGUAUACAUAUUUUGUUUCUGCUCUCAUCCAAUUUGUUUUCUGGAAUGUACUCCUACUCCCUCCAUCCAAGAGGGAAUACAUGAUAUAGUUAAUUUAUUUUCUUGAUAUCUAUGAGUGGUAUUUUUCUAAAAAAUUCCGUUGCAACGCGGGUGGUAUCCACUUCGGUACAACCCCCUCACAAAACGUAUAAAGGACAAUAUAGUCAUUUCACAUACCGUACACAGUUUUGUAUGUACGUAUUUAUGUAUGGCGGGUGUCAGUACAGUGUUACUUGCACCUUGUUUUUUUUUAAUCUUCAAAAAUAACGGCCGCACUAUGAUGUGGGGCUCGAACCUACAUGCUGCUCCUUCAAUACUCACCUAGACGGAGGGAGUACCAAAGUACUUGUUUCCUUCUUCCUAUUGAACGAUCAUGCUAAUAAAAAAGCAUGCAUCUCUAGUCUGAUUUUUUUUCAGUUUGUCGGUUUUUCUUUGGGGUUUUUUCAUUCUCCAUUUUUUUCCUUAUGUCUUUCUAUUUUUGUUUCCUUUUCUUAAUUUGCAGACCUUUUAAAAUGGAAAACAAUAUAGAUCACCUGUUGGAUCGCAGCUCCGCGUCCGCUGCCUUUUCUACACGUCACGUGCCUCAUGGCCAGCAACACUAGGUUUUUACAACUGGCCCGUUGUUGCAAUCAACGUCUGUUGCAGGAUCUGGAUCCUUGAGAGAAGUUGCCUCUCGUGUUUCUCCCAAGCUCUCGUCGGUUCCUCUUCGCAUGACUCCAACUACCUCGAGCUCCAUCGAGUCCCCGUCUCCCUGUGCUGCUCUGACUGUAGCCACCGGGUGUUUGGGUUGGACAGAAGGCUUCCUGUGAGAGCACGUUAUUUUUCUCGACAUCCUUCAAAUGGCCCAAAAAAAAUUUCACCAGUUUCCAUGACAAAUUCAAGGCACCAUUCAAAGUUGUUUGAGUUUUCAACAAUUCUUGCAUUUUCUAGAGUUCAAACCUGGCAUGGAUGCCUCAUAUAUCCAUGUCAGACUGCUGCAAGAAGUUAGGGUCUUUUAUCCAUGUCAAAAAAAUAACAGUUGAGAGGAGUGUGCUAAACUAGGCGUGCGCAAAACAAAAGAGAGAGAGUUUAGACCAAUAACCAGCAAAUCACAGAUCACAUAUCCAGUGUAUCGACUCAGCAAGAGAAAGCCAAUAGUCAACAAAAGCCGGUAACUCCCCUAAUAAGCCAAAAUAGUGUCUUUUAACACAACAAGAGCAACAGCUCCUAAUUGUAAACAUCACAGAAGGAGCUUAUUGUGUAUCAAUAUGGUAAAGAUUUCGUUUAUGGUGGAAUAAGUCAAAACAAACAUGGCACAUAAUAGUUUUGAGUCAGUUUUUAGUGAAAUGAAUAUCUAUCUACCACAAGACCAUCACAAUCACAAGGCUGGUUCCAACCACCACCGCCACAAACAGCAUCAUGGCCAUCUCAAGGCACAGGGAGAAAAGAAAGAGAUCAAGGACUUACCAGAACUAAGGAAGAGGCAACCGGCACCGCCCAGUUGUGGCCAAACCGUUGUCAUCAUGCUGUACGGAAGCAGGCGAUAGGACAUGGGCGACCCGACCCGUCCGGCGAGCAAAGGUGAUGCACGGCCACCCUGUCUAUGCACACAACAAGUUUUGAUUUAGUGAAAUGAAUUUCUAUCUAGUGCAUAUGUGCAUGCUUUCUCUACUGCCUAUGUACGCAUCCAAUUCAACAGGGAAAAGGAAACAUUUUUUGCAAGAAAAAAGAUGGAGGAGAGAGAGCUCACCGGCAGCACCUUUGUCGCGCAGUAAGAUCUUAGACACGUGGCUGCCGGCAGCAGGAUCUUGGAACAGUGCUGCUGGCAGUAGGAGUUUGGAGACGUUUCCUCCUGCAGCAUCUCGGGGAGGUGGUCACUGAAAACUGCCGGCAGCAGCUCCUGGAGGACUGCCGGCAGCAGUAGCGGCCCGGGCAGGCUCACCACCAAUCUCUCACUCCUUGCCUCAUAGCUGCCAUUCCUGCGAUGCGGUGAGCUCCUCCCACCGGCUGCGAUGGUCACCAACGCACCCGUCGAUCUGAGUAAUCCUGCAAGAUUUAAGAAAUAAGUUCAUGGCAUUCUUAGUAAAAGUUAGCACUAGUACCCCCACAAAUGGGUGAUAAAAUGAUUAAAACAACUAGUUCCAGAAUCAUACUACAAUUUAUAUUCAUGACAUGUAAUCUAUAGUUGCGAACCUGUUGGGGAACGUAGUAAUUUCAAAAAAAAUUCCUACGUACACGCAAGAUCAUGGUGAUGGCAUAGCAACUCGCGGGUCGGGAUGACGGCGAGAGGACCUCGGGGUGGCGGCAUGGACCGUGAGCCGUGGCACUACGUCCCGAAGGGGCGGUGCAAUGGCGGUGUGCUGGUCAGUGCAGCCGUGAGGACGGCCUCGGGUAGUGGCCGGGACCGCGUGCCACAGUGCAAUGGCCCAAAAAAGAAAAUACCGGGCAAGCAACCGGCGGAGAGAAAACCGAUCUUGAGAUCGGAAAAACUCACCAGGGCAGCCAUUCACGGAUCAACGGAUGAACCCUGCUAUGGGUCAUGCGCCCCACGGAAGAGAUCAUGAUGAUCGACCUUCCUAGGGGUGGCGCGGUGCGGAAGCGUGCGGCGGUUAGGUCUAGGAACUUGCGGCUGAUACCAUGUUAGAAGAGAUAGAGAGGAGAAUGGUGGAAUAUGAUGGAUGUUGUAUUGAGCCUCUCGGGCAGUUCAUAUAGAGUACAAGGCUUAGUGGGCAAGAAGCCUUUUCUAGAGAUAAGGCAGGAAAUGAUUACAAAUCAUAAUCUACCAUAUACAGAUGUAUGCCUAUAAUCUAACAGAAACCAUGCAUUUAGAAGUCAAUAACCGAAUUUUGUUACUCUUGAGAUGAUUGCAAUAAGUAAGCAUCUGGUAGAUGAGUAAGAGUAACAAUUAUGGGAAUAACCUACUGAUUAUAUAUCAGGAACCCAACAUGCUUUCCAUCUUUUGUUCAUCAUGGUCACCGCUUCCAAAAAGUAGUGACGGAUGUUGUCGCCAGAUGUCCAACCCUUCAUUAUCCAUGUUGUAACCCGAGCUGCUUAGUGCGCGACCAUCAUAUAAAACGAUUGCAACCCUGGUCACCCUUUUGUUACCAAUGUUGUAUGUUGCUAUUUUUCAGACUCCUACUUCAUUAAUCGUAUCAAUAUGAGUAUAUGACAGGCUUAAUGCUCGGUCAUGUGUAUCCUUUUGAUUUCGAGGCAUGAUGGCACAUGAAAAAGAAAGAGCCAUGAUGGAGAUGUGGCAGGGCUUAUGAGGAGAUGACACACAAUGCGAGCCAUGGUGGAACAAAAACAGCAAUACGGGUUGGGCCUCCGGUUAGUAGGUUAGUCCCAAAAAUGAUAUAAAUGUGUAAAAGAAAGCCCAUAAACAUUCAAAAAGGUAACAUAAUAGUAUGGAACAAUCAAAAAUUAUAGAUACGUUGGAGACGUAUCACACCACAGAGGCCAGAUCGUGUCCCACUACUGGCACGAACACAAACCCACUCACGCACUACCUAGACCACAUACAGGCGCGGUGACCAUGCACACGCGCACUCACACUAUGUAUGAUAACAUCUCCAUCAAGUUAGACAUAUACAGCUUGGGCCUAUUAAUUUUGGAGACCACCACAGUUGAGAAAAAUUGUUCCAACAACGAACCAUCCACAACGCAAUUUAUAAAAAGUGUAAGAGAAAUUAUUACUUGAUUCUUGAAAGAAUGGAGUAUAUAUAUAGAAUAGAAUAGAAGCUUAUGAUACAGUUGGUUUAUAUUAUCUCUUCUGAUUCUGUAUAUAGGUACGUGAUAACUGGACGGAUGAGCACAUAGUUUUCACGUUUUUCUAAAGGUCGGGCCGGGCCGGCCCGAAGCCCGACGGGCUUUUACGUGUUCGGGCCGGGCUUGGGUCCAGAAAACAGGCCCGAUGGCCGGGCCGGGCCCGGGCCUAGGUUUUUUGCAUCGGGCUUGGCUAGGCCCAGGCCGAGAUAUGGCCAGGUAUACAUAGUGUUGAUGUGGAUCGCCUUGAGCAGAUAAAAGUAUGCGUCAAAAUUGGUCGCUCCUGCACCCGCGUGCGUCACCGCACGUGCACAGCCGCCACGCCUCCGUACGGAUUGCAGCGGCGUUUGCGUUGCGGGUGCACCAAACCAAAACAAAACGCGCAUGCUUCUCUGGCUGAUUGCCAGCCUAGCUAUUGCUAGAUAGCUCAGUCCGUCCUCCGCAAAAUCCCGUCUUUUUCUUUUCUUUUUGUUUGUUUGUUUCCAUGAGCGCAUCCACAUUGGUUGGAAACCAAAACUCACAGCUGCUCAAGGUGGAUUGGAUUGAAAGAGGCCCUCCUACUUGACUGCCGUCGUUCCUCCUCCCUCGGCAACUAAUCCCGGCCGCAACGCCCCGACACUCUAAUCUAACCUAAUCUAAUCAGCGCCAUGCCACGCCUCAACCGCAAAGCAAAGCCGUCUGGGCCGCACUCACCGCCAGCGGACGAGCGACGACCAUCUUGCUCUCCGACCUCCUGCCGCACAUCGCCGGCCGGCUGCUUCUCUAACACCUUGGAUUUCUCUCCUCUCCUCUCCGCUUCUGCCUCUCACCGCCGGCCUAACAUGCAUCUCCUCUUCUCUCCGCGUCGCCGAAGUCCUAAGUCACGCGCACCCCGCACGCGGAUGGAUGUCUCUUCCUGGUAUAUAUAGAGAGACAUAGAGCUGACCUUAGAAGAAGAAGAAAAAGAAGAAAAAGAAGAACUGAGGCAUGCAUGCCGGAGAGGAAGAGGGUGACGCGGAUCACUGAGGUGGCGCAAGCCAAACCCUUGAUGGCUGGCCGGCGGGGAUCCAUAUGACGUUUUAAUGAUGUGAUGAUGAUGAUGAUCCCUUUUCACAAAAAACGUGGCACAGUUUCAUACACCUUUUACUUGAAAGCUGGUGGGCAUUCCAAGGGCUACAUGGAGGGUUUCUCUGGUCACGGGGGCGGCAGCUACCUAACAGCUAGCAAGGUUCAGUGACAAAAUUGACACUAUUUUAAAGCUAGCAGGUUCGGGUGGCAAAAUUGACACAUGUGGCUACAAUUCGUAAGCCAUUCCAAUGUUAUUAUUAUUUUGACUGGAUUAUUCCACAAGGCAUGGUAACUGUUUGAUAACUUUUCAAUGGAUUUUAAAUUUUUUGCACAACAUAACAGCAUCUCACGCAGAAUAACGGAUGAAAUUUUUAAUGUUGAGCGUGCCAGGCAGAUGAACAAUAUUACCCAGUGGGUGGCAACAUUUUAUGAUUGUAACCACCAUAAGACAUGAUCUCUUCCUUCUUAUUAUACUUAGCACAAGACAUGAACGAUUAUUUGUCGAACCUUUGAUUUUCUAAAGGCCAACGUCCUCCCUUCUUUCUUUCUAUCAGAAAAUCCAAGGCCCUCACAUACAAAGCCGUGUACUUUCUACUAUACUGUACACCCAUGCAAUCACCUAGGAUUUUUUUAGAAAAGGAGGAGGACCCCGGCCUCUGCAUUUGGACGAUGCAUGCAACCAUUUUUAUUAAAAAUUCACACAAGACCUUACAAAGUCAUACAACAGUAAGACUAAAGCCACCGUCUAGGCAACAUCUGUCGCUACUCCUAUACAGUUGAUGAAGGGAUGCUGAUAUUUUGAGCCUAAUACACAGACCUCACAGCCAAACCUACCAUCUAAGACCUGAGGUCCCAACCAGGACGUCUGCCGGGUAUGGGGCACCCACCAGUCCGGCGCACUUCUCAACCAGGACGCCUGCCGGGUAUGAGGCCGCCGCAGCCACCUGCCACCAAUCCAUCUCCAGUGUUGUACUGUUGCAUCAAUCUUGCCCGGUCUAGCUGCCGUCGACGCCACCACGAUGCCAGACAGCGCCACCUCCCUGCGCAAGUCCAUCUCCGCGCAUCAGACGUCGGCGCCAUGCCGCCGAGAUCCGCCGCCAGCAAUGUGUAAGCUGAAACACCGCUCCACCAAAAAGCCUUCCACUGGUCCCUCGGUCCGUAUACACCUUCACGAAUGACGCCCCCAAGAGGGAAACGACACCAUAGAGUCGCCGUCAUUUGAUCUACUGAUCUAGGGUUUCCCCCGGAGGUAGCAUAGUGUGGCCUUGAACUUCUCCACGGCGAUGCCUUCAAGAAGGGAACGAUGCAAACAGCGCCGCCACCGCCGGCCUUGAUAGCUAGCCGAGAGCAGGUUGAAAGCUUGGUAGCUAGCCGAGAGCAGUUUGAAUGACUAAAGUUUAAUGUGAAAGCAAAUAUGGGUAGUGUGCUUGACAAAGUAAAGGUUGGAUGUCUCAUGCCCCUUGAAUACAAGUACCUACGCCAUGGUUACUCAACUUGGGACACAAAGCAAAUUUAAGUUAUCUAUAAUGGUAUCAUUAAGAGCCUCAACUGGGGUACCUCUUGUCCCAUGAUAUGGAUCAAGCCCACAACAAAACAACAAGACAAACAAACAAAUGAACAAUCUCAACACCCUUUUUAUUUACCACUUGGUGUUGGCUUUUUAUUGUGGGGUGUAUCAUAGAUGGUUCACCAUAGCAUGUAAGUAAAUUUCCACCAUGAAUGAUGCAUGGCUUAGAUUAGUGGCCCAGGCUUCUCUCUAACCAUUUAUACAAACUUAUUUAAACUCACUUUAUUUCCACAUUAUUUCACCAUGAUACGCAUCCAUAAACAAAAGUACAUGAUAUCAACUAAAUAAAUGAAGGAGCAUGUUGAAAGCUUUGCAUGUGACAGCACAUAUGGGAUAUAACUCCCAACCUCAAACAUUUUAUCAAGCCACUAGCAUCAUAAUUUUAAUCACAAUGGGUCAUAUUUAUUUCAUACUAUGAUAAUAAAACGUGCAUCAAGUUCGUGAGAGCUAUUUUAACCAACUUUUACCAUUACAAUGAAUAACAUAAUCAUUUUCACUCAGAGGUAUAGAUAACACAAAUAUCAUGAUGAACAUACUUGGGAUAGCAUAAAGCUAAUAGGUAGAUAUGGUGGACUCACUGGAAAAACUUUGGUUGAAGGUGUUAGAAACAAGUUUUUACUUGUUGGGAUUUUUGGGCUAGCAAAAGGGAGAAAGUUGACCAUCUAGAUGCAUGCAUGAGUGUCCAUAGAACUAACCAAUUCAUGUCAAACAAAGUAAAAUAACAUACAUCAUCAAAACAUGAAUAAGAGAUAGCUCAUGAUAAAGCAUUUGUAAAUUAUUACUCAUUAACAAGCUCAUGAAUCAUGCAACUAUAUGUGUCAUUAAAAAUCAACUUAGGCAUCCCUUUUCCCAAUAUGAUAAAAUCAUGCAACAUAUGUCAACCCAUAUUUCCAGUAGCUCUUUCUCAUAUAAAAAUGAUAGUGUGGUGGUCUCACAAAAAAAAAAUCAAAGCAAAAACAAACAAAAAGACGCUCCAAGUUUAUGCGAUAAAGUGCAUUGAUCGAAAAACAGAAGUUAGACGUGUGCAAACCGAGAGUGUGUAGGUUUAGUGGGGAUGUUUUCACAUCCCCAAGCUUAUGGUUUUCACCAUCCUUGGAUAACUCUUGGUGCAUCUCCUCCAAUCCCUGUGAAAAAAACUUCAAAACACCGUUUCUCCCAUUUCUUUUCCGUGGGGUGACAUUAGUAGUGAUAAACAAAUAGGUUUCUUGCUGCAAAUAAUCCUUGGACAAAAAUGCAUGAGGAUGUCCAGAAAGUAUAUAAUGUUGUAUGCCUACUCAUAAACUCAAUUGGAUCACAAAGAUUCAACUUAAAAGUUCAAAAUAUGCAUAAAACAAUAUGGGACAUAAUCUGUCCAGAAAAACAGCAGCAGCAAAACAUAUUUUUCUGCCCUACUUAUACUUGUCGAAAAAUUCUGAAAACAAUCAGGCAUACAGAGGAUGAAAAGUUGCAACUUCAGUUAAAAUUUCAGCUCAUUCGGAGUUACAAAAUAAAAAUUAAAAAUCAAACCGUGCACAGACUUUGUGCAGGAAUAACAUCUCCGAAUACAAAUAGCAACUUUUUCAAACCAAAAUGGGCAAAACCUGGCACUUUAUUAAAAACUAGCGUGUAGUGCGCGGCAGCACGCCGCGCCAUACUGAUUGUUGUGCGACGAUUUUCCUUUUGAAGUUCUUAAAACUUUGUUUAGUACUUGGUUGAUAACAUAGUCAUUCACACAUAUAGAUAAGGUUCAUUGAGUCAACACAGGCAGAGUGCAACGUUUCUACUUUCCACUUAGAUUUGAGAUCCUCGGCUAAGUUUGUUUCUUUGAUACAGUGGUAGAGAACUGGCACCGCGCUUUAUUUGCAUGUUUCAGUGAAGUUUUGUAUAUAUUGAGAAAAGGCUCAUGUGUUGGUUAUCCAUUUGUUGGUUUCUUCAGGAAUGCAAUUCUUGCCUACAGGUGUACAUGCAAACAUAGAUUGAUGACUAUAAGUAGGGUCUGUUGGUAACUUGGUAAUGCAUAACUCAUCGCCCAUAGUAAGCCUACACACUUAUAAGCCAAUUACACCAUCGUCGCCGGUUGGGGUGCGGAGAGGGGAGAUGGAGAGGCGGCGCGCUGGCGCCUAGGAUAAGGAGUGAGGAAUCGAUCGGGAGUGGUGGCUAGGGUAGGAGGGGAUUGCUGGAGGCUACGUACUGUGAAGAAAGAAGGGCACAUACAUGAGCAAAGACUUGAGAUGUUGGGUUGUGCGUGGGCCGGGCUUUUACGCAGGCAUUUGUCCAUAUGCAUCUAAUCUGUCUGAUCGAUUACUUUGGUUAACUAAAGUACAAGACCGGAAUUCCUAAAUUAAUUUUGGUUCUUACAAAGUGCAGACUGAACUAAGAAUUGGAAUUUUGGAUUCGGUCUUUUCGAAUUCGGUCCCGGUUUUUUCUGUUCGGUAGUUGGGUGCUAGGUUAAUAUGCCCAUCCCUACAUGCAUGUAUAGCCACUCAAUAAAAACAGAACAGUUUUUCAAACCAUGCAAGCAGUCACUGUUCACGUAACAUGCAAUUAACUGAGAUCUGCUAUAUAUAUCACCCAUCAAUAUACGUGCUGGGAUUUCAUCAAUUAUUAGUCCAAGGCUAUUAACUCUACUCUCUUCGGACAGUAGGUUUGUAAGGAGAAAUAGCAAUAAACCAAUGAAAAAAUAGGAGCUUCGCAGAAGUAUCGAUUUAGUGCCUGUUCGGUUUCUCUCCGCUCCCGCGACUCAGAUCCCGGAGCGGAGCAGGCUGUUGCAGCUUUUUAUGGAGCAGCUCAAACCGAGCUCUGCAGCUCCGUGGAGAACGGAGUGGAGAGAUUCCAAACGGGGCCUUACUCUUAGAAAAAAUGACGUUGUAUUCUUUUACAUUCAGAAAUUAGCUGCUCUGAAUACACAUACCAAGUGUUCAACAUGCAACUGCUUACAUAGACUGAGAAUACACAUAUACUGCAUACCACACAACCACAACCAUGCAUGAGUGUUGUCAACACCCGGAUCAGUAGCAACCGUCACCAGACCUCAUUGGCCAUAAAUAAAAUAUAGAAAAAAUUCUGCAUAGUCCACCCAUUGUUGCAUGCACACUUGUCAUUUUUUUGCUAAACCAACCCACCAAUUAAUGAUGAGAAUCCUCAUACAGAUGCAUCCCUACAAAUACUAAAUCAAACUUGAACGAAAGGAAGUCACUAACACCAAUUGUCAUGCAACCAGCCAAUAUGAGAAAAGAAACACAGGUCAAGAAACCAUUAGUCAGUGGGAAUCAAAUCAAAGCAUAUGCAGUCAUUAAUUGACUCUCAAGAGGACUCGCAUGCAGAUGAAUGA
RNAcentral lists this long non-coding RNA (20938 nucleotides) under Triticum aestivum (bread wheat). Its description in RNAcentral is "long non-coding RNA (TAES_LNC018739)". Lineage: Eukaryota; Viridiplantae; Streptophyta; Magnoliopsida; Poales; Poaceae. The record is from RNAcentral.